CAGUAAGUAGUAUAAAAUUGUAUACAUAGUUUCGGCCUAUGAGGAGGGUUAGUCAACCUUUUACUGU
Molecule: transfer RNA, 67 nt
Filed under: Iridona iridescens
Lineage: Eukaryota; Metazoa; Mollusca; Bivalvia; Cardiida; Tellinidae
Description: Moerella iridescens tRNA-Arg
Source: RNAcentral